GACUGCGCAAGCGCGAAUGUGAGAGUGGUGCUAAAGGGUAACCCGAGCAAACAAGACAAAGAAAGACAACAUCAUUUCUUUCUGUCCAGGCAAGUUGGCACUGGGCCAGGAGCAGACCUCUCAUCAUCUCAUGUUCAAGGAAGACUUCAAAACAGCUGAUUGCAUCAGUCUGGUGGGAAACGCUGGGACGGCUAUUGAGCAACGUGUACAUGCUCUAAGUCUAUGGAAUGACUAGAUCAGACCCACUGAGGUCUGUUGCUCUUGCAUGGCCUAGCCCUUCAUCUUGUGGCUUUCAGAAGAUGAAGAAACAUUCCUAAGGAGACUUCGAGGUGACAUCAGCCUGAAGCAGCAGCAGACAGAUCUGGGACCGGACCGUGCACAGUGAAGCCUUGAAGGGCCUGCUGCUGAACCUUGGCAACAUCUCUCCGAAAGGAGGCGGGAGAUCUGCAUCCCAGCCACAGGCUGCUUGUCCCAGACUCCACUGCACACCUGCCCAGUCCAGCUCCAGAACGGGUACUCGCUCUCUCCUUCCUGUGGCCUCCCUUCCCUUGGGUUUCCCUUUGCAGCAGGGAGCAGAACAUGAUUCUAAGGUUGUCUUUGCGCUUAGACCCAUUUCCUUUGCUGAUGAGAUUCAAGAAUGGUGUUUUGUGCUGUGCCUGAGUGCCCGGUGAAUAGAUCCCUUGUGUUCUAGAAGAAUCGCAGUGCCUGGUUGCUCAUCACCAUUGCUGGCCCUGGCAGCUCUGAGGGGAAACCAGCUUGGAUUUCAGCCUCGGGGAUUAACAUCUCAGAGGCACAUAAAGCUGCCUGAAAGUCAAGAGGAGGCAGGGUAACGAUGCAUGGGGCUGUUGUGUGGUUAGUUUGUCUUUUGCCAUUCAUGGGGCACAGCAGCUGAGGCUGAUGAAGAUCAAACAGCCAAAAAGCAGAACCCACGGAGAGGAGUUUCCAUGGAGAGUGGAGACCACUGUCCCUCUCAUAGUCAGCUCCACACAUGGGAUCAUAUUCACCACGGGAUGAGGGAAGUUCAUCUCCUUCCCUCAGUGACUGGGGAACCUGGAAAUUAUAUUAGUAAAAGGAGAACCGUAUAGUUUGUUGGUAUUAAUGUUAAUGUAAUAUUAGCAUGCCUGGAAGCUUCACCCACACAAAGUCAAAGCCAGACAUGAAUCUUAGCACUUAAGAGGCUCAAGCAGGAGAAUCCUGAGUUCAAGUUCCUGCCUGGACGACAGAGCAAGGUCCCAUCCAGUCUAAGCUACAUAGUGACACUUGUCUUAAAAAAUAAAUCAGUGAAUCAAGACCUUGACUCUCUCUGUGU
Mus musculus (house mouse) is the source of this 1309-nucleotide long non-coding RNA. RefSeq annotates it as predicted gene, 34317. The transcript has 5 exons. The record is from RefSeq and is a predicted model, not a curated record. Lineage: Eukaryota; Metazoa; Chordata; Mammalia; Rodentia; Muridae.